UUCCACAAGACGACGACCAACUCCUUCGGGGCAUUUUUUCCUUCGCCUGAACCGCCCGAUCGCCGACCUCAUGAUAAUCGCUCGCCAACCGUCUCCACGCCCUCUUUGCAGCGUGAGAAAUGGCGUGCACUUCGUGAAUGCGAGAUCGAAGAGGGUGGGUGACGAAAGUGGGAGGAGACCCUCUUUCGAAGGGCUCAUAGUCGAUUCUCUCCCAUUUCCCUGUCCCACAACCAGUGUUCUGAGGGCAGGGCGCGUCCUCUCUUUCGCAUUCGAGCAUCCUUGGAUUGCUUUGAGGUCUCCCUCGCUCUUAGGGUUUACAUUUCUUCGUUGUUUGGCGGCUGUCAUGGCUGUUCUGGUCUGAUCUGUCGGUCAUUUGCAGUUGGAUUGCUUGUGGGACUGGUUGCUAGUGGAAUUGGAAGAUAAAUCUUGUUUUUUUCAAGUAGAGUUUUCGUUGUGGCGUGAUUAUGGGGUGCUAUUGCUGUUUUAAUUGAUUGUUUAUGGCACUGGUGCGACGUUCUUGUGGCAUUUUGGUAUGAGGGUUUUUGGGAGUUCUGGAGGUUACUUGGUCUGUGUCCCCGGUCGUUCAUACCAGCCAAUUAGGUGACUUUUCCUUCCAUUUGUCUUUGUACGAGUGUUGAGUCUUCUAUUUUUAGCUUUUGUCUUCGAAUUUCAUAACUACUCCUUGCAUUCAAGAUUAUGUGCAUGAAUAAAUGGUGGGGAUUAUUUACUAUUGGAUUUUUUUUGGCUCAGGGUAGAGAAUUUUGCUUUCCAAAUAUUUCAAAUUGAUGUCUAUGCUUUCUGUAAAACGAUGUCUUUUGCCCACCUGAGUUCCUGGGAUUGGUUUGCCUUGGGCGGAGUAGGGAAAAUUAAUUUUCGAUUGAAUGGGCCUUUAGGAAUCUGUAAGACCUAUUAAGGAUAUCUCAUAUCUUAAACUACUUGAUCCUUUUCUUGGCCAAAUUGGAGAAGAGUCCAUCCAUGUAGCCAUAGAGGGAUUGUAUUGGAAAUGAUAUGAUAUGUUGCUCUCGAUAUCUGGUCAUAGAUGUUUUCUUUUGACCAAUUAAUAGUUGGACUAUGAUCUCUAGCAUCUUAGAGUGCCAGGAUUAUGCCAUUCUCGUUUGGUUAGGUGGCUGUAGGCCUUGUCAACAAGACUCCUUAGGUUAGUACCAUACCUAAGGAUGACAGUGACACCCUUCACUGAAGCUCUACCAGGCAAUCCAAAGGUCGGGAGAAGAUCUUCAAGACGAAGUGUGCUCUGUGCCAUACCGUCGAGAAAGGCACUGGCCACAAGCGAGUUGGUGGUAUCUUGUUAUCCAAAAGGUGCAACAGACGGAUCAAAUGUGCCAAAGCCAGAAAGGAAAAUCAACCUCAGGGAGAAAAUGCUCUUGCUUGAUUUCUUUCGAAAGCAGAGUCAUGUUGACUUGUCAAUAUGAAUCAUCUGCAGAUUUUGCUGUCAAAGCUAAUAAUCUUUGCAGGUUAUUGUGCCAAUGACUUAAGUAAAGAGGAUUGGGAAUCUUAUUGUCCAUGCCGAGGUUUUGGAUUCAAUCAGCAGUUGUAAAUUGUAAUGAUGGAGGAUGUUGUAGAGAAUGUAAUAGCAUGAACCACCAGAUUUUAUUUGUAGCUCAAUUGCGCGGUGUUAUUUUUA
Molecule: long non-coding RNA, 1642 nt
Organism: Eucalyptus grandis
Lineage: Eukaryota; Viridiplantae; Streptophyta; Magnoliopsida; Myrtales; Myrtaceae
Exons: 2
Source: RefSeq, a predicted model, not a curated record